GCACCACCAGGGCGAGGUCCAGUAGGCCUAUCCUCCCUGCGCCUGAACCUCUCCGGCGGCCUGCGGUCCCUGCGGUUCUCGCGGGAGCGGACACGGACGAUGUGGGCGUGGAUGGCGCAGGAGACGCAGUGAUGGACCUUGGCGUACAGCUUCGGGAGGACGUAUCCGUCAUGGACGCACGCCUCCUGGACAUCCCUGAUGGCCGCCU
RNAcentral lists this unclassified non-coding RNA (208 nucleotides) under Hevea brasiliensis (rubber tree). Lineage: Eukaryota; Viridiplantae; Streptophyta; Magnoliopsida; Malpighiales; Euphorbiaceae. The record is from RNAcentral.